Molecule: ribosomal RNA, 482 nt
Filed under: uncultured bacterium
Lineage: Bacteria
Description: partial 16S ribosomal RNA
Rfam family: Bacterial small subunit ribosomal RNA
Source: RNAcentral
GACGAACGCUGGCGGCGCGCCUAACACAUGCAAGUCGAACGAGAGAGGAAGAGCUUGCUUUUCCGAUCGAGUGGCGAACGGGUGAGUAACGCGUGAGGAACCUGCCUCAAAGAGGGGGACAACAGUUGGAAACGACUGCUAAUACCGCAUAAGCCCACAGCUCGGCAUCGAGCAGAGGGAAAAGGAGCAAUCCGCUUUGAGAUGGCCUCGCGUCCGAUUAGCUAGUUGGUGAGGUAAUGGCCCACCAAGGCGACGAUCGGUAGCCGGACUGAGAGGUUGAACGGCCACAUUGGGACUGAGACACGGCCCAGACUCCUACGGGAGGCAGCAGUGGGGAAUAUUGCACAAUGGGGGAAACCCUGAUGCAGCGACGCCGCGUGGAGGAAGAAGGUCUUCGGAUUGUAAACUCCUGUUGUUGAGGAAGAUAAUGACGGUACUCAACAAGGAAGUGACGGCUAACUACGUGCCAGCCGCCGCAGUAA